UACGUAGGGACCGAGCGUUGUCCGGAAUCAUUGGGCGUAAAGGGCGCGUAGGCGGCCUUCUAAGUCGAACGUGAAAUCCCCGGGCUCAACCCGGGAACUGCGUCCGAUACUGGAAGGCUUGAAUUCGGGAGAGGGAUGCGGAAUUCCAGGUGUAGCGGUGAAAUGCGUAGAUAUCUGGAGGAACACCGGUGGCGAAGGCGGCAUCCUGGACCGGCAUUGACGCUGAGGCGCGAAAGCCAGGGGAGCAAACGGG
This 253-nucleotide ribosomal RNA is filed under the name uncultured bacterium. RNAcentral describes it as "partial 16S ribosomal RNA". It matches the Rfam family "Bacterial small subunit ribosomal RNA", at positions 524 to 776 of the family's 1533-position model. The record is from RNAcentral.